UGCCGAUCUUGCCCUGAUAAGUUGAUUUGUAAUGGUUGCUUUAUUUGACCACUGCAGAGUUCAAUAUUAUAGUGUGCGUGUGUCUCAGUAUCCUUACAAAUAUGCAUACUGUAUGACAGAUACAGGUAAAAAUAAUCUUCUCUCUAACACUUUAAAUGUUAGGGGUGGACCUCAUCGGACCCUUCACGAAAUCCAGGAAUAGUAAAGGAAGAGUACGUGCUUAACUACCCUUCUGUAACCCAUUAAAAAGGGUGCUUGCAACCAAAAAUAGAUUUUCGUUUUGUAGAAUACCCAUCAAGGACGAGACUGGCGAGGCCACCUCCAAGGUGAUGGUGGACAUCUUCAACACCCACGGGUCUCCGGAGGUCAUCUUGAGUGACCGAGGUCAUGAGCGUUGGAACAAGGUUUGGUGUAUGGACCAACCAGACCCUUAAGACUGCCAUGGGAAAGCCCCUUGAUUGGUACCAGGAAGGGUGGGAGAACAACCUGAAGGUAAUUCUCUUUGCACACAACAGCAGCAUCCAGGCCGCGUACAGACGGGAGUCGCAGCUGUUGACUGAGGUAAACAAUGCAAUUGUAUAUACAAUUAUUACAUAUACUGUAGUAUAAAAAAAAUUGUGAUCGACUUAGUGUUUGUCUAUUGCUAUUUUUGCAUAACAUACUUUCAGAUCACUGAAACUCCACCUGAUGUGGUGGAAGUUGUCAAACCAGAUCAGAACGCCAUAGAGGACUACCUUCAGGCACAGACUGAAGGAUGUGGAGGUUUUUGACUAGAGCUGGAAAAUGGAUCAGAACGUUUGAAGAGCAAACCAUGGGGAAACUACUGGCUGUGGGGGAUCUGAAGGCACUGCUGGCGAGAGUAGCAGGAGCGGCAAAAUUGGAGGAUGUACUGGAUGCCAGUGGCCUGAGAGUGGCAAUAGGGGAUCCAAUGAGGGAUGGAGUGGACUUUGAUACAUACUGUCCAGGAGUCUGGAAAGCCCUAAGAGACGAGUACUCUGCACGGAUGGACACAAAGUCACUAAAAGGAGAGCUACUGGGGGUGACAGAGAAUCUGGCUGUGUACUUACACAGACAGCUGAAACGAUGGAGGCAGGAAACAGAACAGAAUCCAGAGGGAGACCCACUGAUGACAACUCUGUUCCGAAACUCAGUGAUAGAAGCCAUGCCCCAGCCAGUGAGAAGCAAGCUGGAGGAUGUAGUGGGACUGACUUCAAAAUCACACAAAAGAAUUCUGUGACCAUGUCAUUCAUGCAGUGGAAAAACACAGAAAGGAUUAACAGAAACUCACAGAACAAGAAAAAAACAUUCAGAGAAAAAUAGCUCAGCUUCAGCUGGAAGAAUUGACCUACAAAGGAAAAAAGAAAAUCUAGGCUCCAGUGACAAUACCUGUGCCGGAAGUAGGGACAAUGGCUGCAGUCUCCCCAGGAGGGCCGCAACUGCCUCCCGUCCAGCAAGCCCAAGUGCAGCCCACACCACCAGUAUGCACAACAACCCCAACAAUUUAAUAAUGACAAAUGGGCAACAUAGACAUCCACAGAACAAUCAGAGAAAAGGAUUUAGCAGGCCACAGGGGCCACCUGGGACCUGUUGGGGAUGUUACCAGCUAGGACACUUCAAAAUAAAAGGUAUAAUGUUGGUAAACAAAGGGUUCAAAGCAAAAGAAUUGGGACUCAUGGUGAAGAAAGCCAAGAAUUGUAAAUGGAAUAAAACAGACAAUCCAUUGAUUUUCCACUCUAAAGAUAAAGCCUUUAUAAAGAUACUGACCACAAUGGGGAUCCAAGGGUAGUAGAGGUUACAGCUAAUCAACAAAUACAAUUAGGAGAUAAUAUUGAAUCAAUAAGUGAACAGAGACACGAAAUGGAAAAAAAUUUACCUGAAGGGGUAUGGUCGCAACAUGACACAGACGUAGGAUUGGUUAACCUCUCUGGGAUCGUUCGGGACGCAAGCGUCCCACCUCGCCAACAGCCAGUGAAAUUGCAGGGCGCCAAAUUCAAACAACAGAAAUCUCAUAAUUAAAAUCCCUCAAACAUACAAGUAUUAUACACCAUUUUAAAGAUACAUUUCUUGUUAAUCCAGCCACAGUGUCCGAUUUCAAAAAGGCUUCACGGUGAAAGCACACCAUGUGAUUAUGUUAGGUCAGCGCCUAGCCACAGAAAACCAUACAGCCAUUUUCCAAAGAAGGAGAGGUGUCACAAAAGUCAGAAAUAGCAUUAAAAUUAAUCACUAACCUUUGAUGAUCUUCAUCUGAUAGCACUCCCAGGUCUCUAUGUUAGACAAUAAAUGUUUGUUUUGUUCGAUAAAGUUCAUCUUUAUGUCCAAAUACCUCCUUUUUGUUCGCGCG
RNAcentral lists this long non-coding RNA (2341 nucleotides) under Salmo salar (Atlantic salmon). RNAcentral describes it as "lncRNA (ENSSSAG00000082123.1)". Lineage: Eukaryota; Metazoa; Chordata; Actinopteri; Salmoniformes; Salmonidae. The record is from RNAcentral.